UACCAAUGAGAGGGAGAGGGACCUGUAAAAGCGCGGUGGACCCCUUUCCCCUACUCCACCAUCAAGGAAUUGUGCAAGGCUCAGAAGGAGUUUUCCCGGGAGAGUGAAUACUUCCGAGGCUCCUUCGAGCCUCUUUAUUAGAGACUAAUGUAGUUCCUGCCGAUUUGCGGACUCUUUUUUCAUGUCUCCUCAACCCAACCCAGUUCUUGGUUUGGGAGGAGGCAUGGAAAAAGGGGGUCAGGGACAUCCUCCCAUAUUUGUGGGCAGAUUCCCAGAGCAGCACAAUCGGUGGUGGUGAAGUGGUCUGCACAGAACAUCUGCUUGGUCUCUUGGGCCGAUGGGGCGACCCAGGCUAGGGUUCUCCCUCGCACUGCGCUACGGGAGAGUGCUAAAGUCACGGAGCGGGCUUUCCUCUCUCUAAAAUCUACCACACCACCACUAACCUUCUCAAAGAUUGUUCAAGGGAGCGAAGAGCCGUUUAUAGUUUUCGUCGAGCGUCUCCGCAGGGCUAUCGACCAACAAGUCCAGGGUGAAAGCGCUUGAUCUGAAGUGCUGCUGGAGAUGGCUGCCACGAAUGCCAACACCGCAUGCAAGGCAGCCAUCCUCAGUCUUCCCCUUGACCCUACGCCCACCAUCCAGAACAUGCUAGAAGUGUGCCAGAGGAAGGUCCCAGUUAUUAUGAAAGAGGACAUCACCGCAAUGAGGACUCCUAUGCGUUGGGUGUCAUUUGUCGAAUCCCCGGAUUUUCCAACCGAUGUGAUGGCAACCCAGACGCAACGCACCCCAGUUCAAGGGAGACCCAACCCAUGGGCAAUGCCAUCUUUGUGGGAGCCUCGAUCACUGGAUGCCAGACUGCCCACUCCAGAGCCAAUUCCACAUGUUCUGAAGGAAGCAGGCGGCAUCCCAGGAGGGACUUAAUUCUCAACAAAAAAACUAAAAUCUGAGCGCAGCCCCUCCCUGCGUGCGGACAGAAAUGAGGCAGGCAUUUUAUCAUCAAAAAAAGGGGAUUUGGGGAGGGGAUCCCAACAUGCCCAUUUACCGGACAUGACUUUAAAUACACCAAAUGUGACCGUAAAUCCUACUCAUUCUCUUCCGUUGCUAACCACCUCUUCUGUGGUUUCGCCCUUCAGGUUGCAGCUGGUUGAGGAUCUUGACAUCACAGACUCCCAGUGCCAACUCGUGAUGGUUGUGCCUCAGGCACCAGUUCACGAAGACAGCGUUCAUCCUCAAGUGUGCAAUGGAAAGACCAGGUUGAAGAAAGGAAGGAAACUGAAGAAUCCUCUGGGACAUUACUGAAUCCUCCAGCCAGCUUCAGCCUGGAUGAAGGCUCAGUUGUAAGGACAAAAGCCUCAACAGUAAACAGGAUAGAAAAAAGCCUCAAUAGUAAAUAAUAAACAGUAAAUAGAAAAAAAAAAAAAAGUUCAAUAGUAAGGAAAAAAAUGCGGCACACAUUGUUUACGCUUUUAAAAACAUACUGUCAAAAUAUUUACUGUGCUGAGGAUUUGCUGCAUUUGUUGUGCUGAGCUGUGGAAGAACUCUGCCAUUCUCUUAUCCUUUUUGUUAUUAUGCUACCUUUAAAAAAUUUUAAUACAUGAAUAAAUGUAACCAACACCUUGGAGAAGAUAAUUUGAAAAUGUUUUUUAAGUACAGGUAGGAUGUACUGGCAUUCCUAAUUAAGGCAUUUUGUAGAUACGGAUUAUCAUUUCAUGUGAGGAAUGUUCUGUCUUUCCACCCAACUUUUUUGUCAAGCUUCAUUAGCUACCAUUGUAGAAAUGUUUAUUUCUAUUUUAUACACUCUUUUAGUUUAGUGCGAGAAUUUGACUGUAAAAAUGGCUUGAAAAUUGUUUCAAGCUUUCAGGUAGAAAAGCAGAGGGGAUGUUUUGUUGUUGUUUUGUUUUUCACUUGUUUUGCUGUGGAUUUGGCACACUGGAUAUAUUUCACAGAAUUAUUUUCUGAAAACUUUCUCUUCUUAAAUGACCACUUUGGGCCUUUCUAAUGUCUUUAUCCAGCUACCCAUUGAAUAACAAUUCUGCCAUCUUUAUGCAGGGUGAGGAAAGCAGGGACAAAGGAAAGUUCUUGGCAUGUUUAGAAAAUCUCUCCUUUCAUUGUGUGGUAACAUUUGCUCUGUUUCUAUUCCUAGCAAUAUGAAAUAUUUUUGGUGUUGGCUUGGAAACUUCUCCUCUUUCUCUCUCAGAGCUGUGAGCAUGGAAGCUACAUGAGGUCUGUUCCCUGUUGACAGGAGCAGAGACCUACAUCAGAGAGUUUUCAGAUUUGUGGGUGUCUUUUGCUCAGUUGAUGGAGUUACUCCACACUUUGACUUAGUGUUGUCCACUGCCCAGGCAGAUCUGUGAUUCAUUAACUGAAUCUAGAAUGUCUUGGCUACAAAAAAUUAAAGUCUGUUUUUUAAUUAUUUGCAAUCAUUGCGAACUUCUAAUGGAUAUACUUGGAUUACUAAUUUACUAAAAUUGAAUACAAUAAUUUUUAAAAAAAUGUAUUAAGUGUCUGGCUCAGGUUUCCUGCAAAUAGAUCAUGCUGUUUUCAAUAAAUCAAAUUAAUAUCCUUUAAAAGCAAAGUUUGAACAGUGUUUCAGAUCCAGCAUUGUGUCUUUCAGAACAUUUACAGGUUCCAUCCUGUAUAAGUGAAAAAGAAUGGGAUAUUAUACAAGAAACGGGAACUAAUAACCUGCUCGAUGUUUCCUUUGUGUUGUUGUUUCUUAAAGAUGCACACCUCUGGCCUUCUGGACACUCACUUAUCAGUACAGCUUUGCAAAACUGAUGGGCAACCUGAGCGUACUGAUGAAGACAGCUCAAGGGAGCAUUCACGGGUGCAAAGCUUACCUGGAGAGGGACUCCCUGAUACAGAGGCUGGCUCGUGGGCUCAACAGAGUAAAUGCCCAGGCCCUGGAAGCUGGAUUGUAUGACAGACUGCCCAGCACAAUUGUAGUUGAAAUGCAGAUGACAACUUUCCUUGAAGAAUUAUUUCUUGUUUCUGGAACAGUUCCUGGAUGAGAAGAACAGUCCACAAAGGUGUUUACAAGGAGAAUCAAUGAAGACAAUAUACAUGAGGAGUUAGACAAGGCUUUGCAGUGUGAGCACGAGGCAAGAUUGCUUGUAGAAGAACAACAGCGACGGCUUCAGGAGCUGAGUAGCAGAAUGGAAUCACUCUCAUUUACUGACAUAGAUAAAAGCCAAGUCUCCAAUUUAUCUCUGAUGGGAGAAUGGUGAACAUGAAAAAUCCCAUGAUGACAUACACAGAAUUGGAAUAUAUUGGCAGCGGGUCUUUUGGAAAUGUGGUUAGAGCACUCGACAAUGUCACAGGAGGACAGGUUUCUCCAGCUCAGGAAGGCUUCAGGAGUCACCUCCCUUUAACAGCAAGCUCCAGCCGCAAGCACUGGAGUUCGGGGCAUGCCCAACUUGUCUCCACGUGACCAGCUGCGACCACAGAAUUCCCCAUUGCCAGAACCACAGUCCAGCAAUAAGGGUGCUUUCCUGAAGGCAUAUGGCUAUCAGUCCUCAUGGUGGGCAUGCAGAAUGGGGAGAAGGAGGAGAAUGUAACUUGUGAUGAACUUUAUGACAGUGAACACCAGAAUGACCUGCCCAGGUGUUGUGGUGGUGGUGGCAAAUCGAGAACCACCUAAUGAAGAAAGCCAAAUCUAGUCAAAGCAUUUUCAGCUAAAUGCAGUUUACAUAAAAGAAUAAGUAAAAAACAAAGAUCACAGUCUUUUUGUUGUUGUGUUCGAGGGUGCCAAGGGUGAGGGAUGAGAUGAGAAUCUUGACUCCAUGUUUCAGAAGGCUGAUUUAUUAUAUUAUCAUAUAUAUUAUAUUAAAAUGAUACACUAAAACUAUACUAAAAGAAUAGAGAGAAAAUGGUCCUUCAGAAGGCUAGAAAGAAAAGGAAUGGAAUGCAUAACAAAAUCCUGCGACUGCUCACAGCCUCAACACAGGUGGCUGUGAUUGGUCAUCAAUUGAAAACAAUCCACAUGGACCAAUCUGAGAUGCACCUGUUGCAUUCCACAGCAGCAGAUAGUUAUUGUUUACAUUUGUUUCCUGAGGCUCCUCAGUUUCUCAGGAGAAAAUCCUGGCAAAAGGAUUUUUCAGAAAAUAUCAUGGCUACAGUCCUUCUGCUUACUUUUUUUUUUUUUUUCCUCCUAAUUUCCUUGGGAAAAUUUUUGGGAAUAUUUCAGGAUACUGAAUCCAGGAUAGUUCCUGUGAUUGGGUGACUGAUGAAAUCUUUGGCAUGAAAAAUGUAUGCAUCCUUCUGGUAGAUGGAAUAAAAAUAAAUACUAAAACCCAGCUGGUAAAGCCAGGGUGUUUCUUUCUGGCAGUUCUGUGAAGCAGAGUCUAACUGGCUCAUCCCAGGCAGGGUUUUCACUCAGUGGAUCACAGGUCCCUGCAGAGGUGUCCAUGAGAGCAGCUCCUUGGAGUCCCAUGUGCUCGGUGGGCAUCCAUCCAGUCAGUCAGUGGAGAAUGUGGGAUGACUCGCAGGAGCAGAUGAAGGUGCCUGUUUUGGGAUGAAAUUAAACCUUCCUGCAGCUUCCUUGCCUGUUGUCGGGGUUGUGGGUGGCUCUACCAGUCUGUCCAGGGAGACUCCCCGGCUGCAAGGAGCUGCCCUAAAUUCCUUUGUGGAGGGGGCAGUCAGAAGCUUUGCUGAGCAGAGGCUGCCCAGCAAGUGCAGUGUGACUGCAGGAUGCAGCAGAAGCAAGGCAGAAGAAGAGGAGGUAACCUGGGCACGAGUUGAUUGAACAGCAGCAAUGUUCAGCACUUACUGCCUCAAUCCCGUAAUUCAGGGAUUCAACCUGUGUCAGAGACAAGAAAGCCCCUAAUCAGCCCUGUCUUGGUACUGGGAGGCUUCUCACAGCCCUUGUGGGACCUUGCCAGAAGUGGAGGCUGGACCUUCACAGAGUAGGAAGAAACUUUACCCUGAGAAAUUUAAAACUGUGUUCAAAUAAAGAGGGAAGCCUAUAGGAAUCACCUCUACCAAGCCCCCUGAGAUUUUUGUUAAAGCUGUAUUCAU
Molecule: long non-coding RNA, 5013 nt
Organism: Passer domesticus (house sparrow)
Lineage: Eukaryota; Metazoa; Chordata; Aves; Passeriformes; Passeridae
Exons: 8
Source: RefSeq, a predicted model, not a curated record